RNAcentral lists this ribosomal RNA (1489 nucleotides) under uncultured prokaryote. RNAcentral's name for it is "partial 16S ribosomal RNA". It matches the Rfam family "Bacterial small subunit ribosomal RNA". The record is from RNAcentral.
AGAGUUUGAUCCUGGCUCAGGAUGAACGCUAGCGGCAGGCUUAACACAUGCAAGUCGAGGGGUAACAGGUUUUAGUUUACUAGAAUGCUGACGACCGGCGCACGGGUGAGUAACGCGUAUACAAUUUACCUCUUACAGGAGAAUAGCCCAGAGAAAUUUGGAUUAAUGCUCCAUGGUAUUAUGGAAUCACAUGGUUUUAUAAUUAAAGCUUCGGUGGUAAGAGAUGAGUAUGCGUCCUAUUAGCUAGAUGGUAAGGUAAUGGCUUACCAUGGCGACGAUAGGUAGGGGUCCUGAGAGGGAGAUCCCCCACACUGGUACUGAGACACGGACCAGACUCCUACGGGAGGCAGCAGUGAGGAAUAUUGGGCAAUGGAGGCAACUCUGACCCAGCCAUGCCGCGUGCAGGAAGACGGCCCUAUGGGUUGUAAACUGCUUUUAUACAGGAAGAAACUUAUCCACGUGUGGAUAACUGACGGUACUGUAAGAAUAAGGACCGGCUAACUCCGUGCCAGCAGCCGCGGUAAUACGGAGGGUCCAAGCGUUAUCCGGAAUCAUUGGGUUUAAAGGGUCCGUAGGCGGGCAAUUAAGUCAGAGGUGAAAUCCCACAGCUCAACUGUGGAACUGCCUUUGAUACUGGUUGUCUUGAGUUAUAGUGAAGUAGAUAGAAUAUGUAGUGUAGCGGUGAAAUGCAUAGAUAUUACAUAGAAUACCGAUUGCGAAGGCAGUCUACUAACUGUACACUGACGCUAAUGGACGAAAGCGUGGGGAGCGAACAGGAUUAGAUACCCUGGUAGUCCACGCCGUAAACGAUGGUCACUAGUUGUUGGGGUCUUGCAGUCAGCGACUGAACGAAAGUAUUAAGUGAUCCACCUGGGAAGUACGAUCGCAAGGUUGAAACUCAAAGGAAUUGACGGGGGCCCGCACAAGCGGUGGAGCAUGUGGUUUAAUUCGAUGAUACGCGAGGAACCUUACCUGGGCUUAAAUGUUUAAUGACCGUCCCCGAAAGGGGAUUUUCCUUCGGGACAUUUUACAAGGUGCUGCAUGGUUGUCGUCAGCUCGUGCCGUGAGGUGUCGGGUUAAGUCCCAUAACGAGCGCAACCCCUAUUCUUAGUUGCCAUCAGGUAAUGCUGGGGACUCUAAGGAAACUGCCUACGCAAGUAGUGAGGAAGGUGGGGAUGACGUCAAAUCAGCACGGCCCUUAUGUCCAGGGCUACACACGUGCUACAAUGGCCAGUACAGAGGGUCGCUACCUGGUGACAGGAUGCUAAUCUCGAAAGCUGGUCUCAGUUCGGAUUGGAGUCUGCAACUCGACUCCAUGAAGCUGGAAUCGCUAGUAAUCGCACAUCAGCCAUGGCGCGGUGAAUACGUUCCCGGGCCUUGUACACACCGCCCGUCAAGCCAUGGAAGUUUGGAGUGCCUGAAGUCGAUAACCGCAAGGAAUCGCCUAGGGUAAAACCAAUGACUGGGGCUAAGUCGUAACAAGGUAGCC